UCUCUGUUUCACAGACGAGGACAUCUACACAGGGAAGUUAUGUAACUUGUCUAAGGCUGCACAGGGAACGAGUGGUGUAGUCAGAGUCUGAAUCCAGGGUCCUCUCUGCUGUUGGCUGUGCUCAUCCCUGCCACUCUGCCUUCUCCUGAGCCAUGCUUCCUCAUCAGUUAUGUUUUCUCCAACUCCUUGCCAUUCAUCGGAAUCUUCUUCUGCUCUGAGGUUGAGCACACAUCUCAGCGCAAAGGUGUGAAGGAAGAGCAGCACCUCCAGGUCAAGUCCAGCAAACAUAAUCAACUCUCAGUCAUUUGGUGCUUCAUUGGCUGGAACUCCCCCUCAGCCAG
Molecule: long non-coding RNA, 341 nt
Organism: Lemur catta (Ring-tailed lemur)
Lineage: Eukaryota; Metazoa; Chordata; Mammalia; Primates; Lemuridae
Exons: 3
Source: RefSeq, a predicted model, not a curated record